This 497-nucleotide ribosomal RNA is filed under the name uncultured bacterium. RNAcentral's name for it is "partial 16S ribosomal RNA". It matches the Rfam family "Bacterial small subunit ribosomal RNA", at positions 28 to 507 of the family's 1533-position model. The record is from RNAcentral.
GAUGAACGCUGGCGGCGUGCCUAAUACAUGCAAGUCGAGCGAACGGACGAUAAGCUUGCUUCUCUGAUGUUAGCGGCGGACGGGUGAGUAACACGUGUAUCACCUACUUAUAAGACUGGGAUAACUUCGGGAAACCGGAGCUAAUACCGGAUGAUAUUUUGAACCGCAUGGUUCAAAAGUGAAAGACGGCGUUGCUGUCUCUUAUAGAUGGAUCCGCGCUGCAUUAGCUAGUUGGUAAGGUAACGGCUUACCAAGGCAACGAGGCGUGGCCGACCUGAGAGGGUGAUCGGCCACACGGGAACUGGACCACGGUCCAGACUCCUACGGGAGGCAGCAGUAGGGAAUCUUCCGCAAUGGGCGAGAGCCUGACGGAGCAACGCCGCGUGAGUGAUGGAGGUCUUCGGAUCGUAAAACUCUGUUAUUGGGGAAGAACAUAUGUGUAAGUAACUGUGCACAUCUUGACGGUACCUAAUCAGAAAGCAACGGCUAACUACGUG